This 179-nucleotide ribosomal RNA is filed under the name uncultured bacterium. RNAcentral describes it as "partial 16S ribosomal RNA". It matches the Rfam family "Bacterial small subunit ribosomal RNA", at positions 335 to 506 of the family's 1533-position model. The record is from RNAcentral.
ACUCCUACGGGAGGCAGCAGUGGGGAAUAUUGGACAAUGGGCGCAAGCCUGAUCCAGCCAUGCCGCGUGUGUGAAGAAGGCUCUAGGGUUGUAAAGCACUUUCAGUAGGGAGGAAGGCCAGAGGCUUAAUAAGUCUUUGGAUUGACGUUACCUACAGAAGCAGCACCGGCUAACUCCGU